Molecule: non-coding RNA, 24 nt
Filed under: Arabidopsis thaliana (thale cress)
Lineage: Eukaryota; Viridiplantae; Streptophyta; Magnoliopsida; Brassicales; Brassicaceae
Source: RNAcentral
GAGCAAUUGGUACAUAUACGGCAC